This 421-nucleotide ribosomal RNA is filed under the name uncultured prokaryote. RNAcentral's name for it is "bacterial SSU rRNA". It matches the Rfam family "Bacterial small subunit ribosomal RNA", at positions 967 to 1389 of the family's 1533-position model. The record is from RNAcentral.
AACCUUACCUACUCUUGACAUCCAGAGAACUUAGCAGAGAUGCUUUGGUGCCUUCGGGAACUCUGAGACAGGUGCUGCAUGGCUGUCGUCAGCUCGUGUGUGAGAUGUUGGGUUAAGUCCCGCAACGAGCGCAACCCUUAUCCUUUGUUGCCAGCGGUUAGGCCGGGAACUCAAAGGAGACUGCCAGUGAUAAACUGGAGGAAGGUGGGGAUGACGUCAAGUCAUCAUGGCCCUUACGAGUAGGGCUACACACGUGCUACAAUGGCAUAUACAAAGAGAAGCGACCUCGCGAGAGCAAGCGGACCUCAUAAAGUAUGUCGUAGUCCGGAUUGGAGUCUGCAACUCGACUCCAUGAAGUCGGAAUCGCUAGUAAUCGUGGAUCAGAAUGCCACGGUGAAUACGUUCCCGGGUCUUGUACACA